This 483-nucleotide long non-coding RNA is filed under the name Mytilus galloprovincialis (Mediterranean mussel). The record is from RNAcentral. Lineage: Eukaryota; Metazoa; Mollusca; Bivalvia; Mytilida; Mytilidae.
GUUAGCCUCUUGUAUUAAGCAUGUCGAUCAGUAAUACAUUAAUUUAAUUAUGAUCACUGAAAUUGAAGAUAUCGGAAGUAAACAUAAUGUGAGAGGUCAAUUGUUUUAGAAUAUUUAGCAACUUUACCAAAAAAUGCAAAUGCAAAGGAUGCAUGCACUGCAUACAUGAAAAUGUAAAACAUAUUACGUUACUUGAAUUGUGUCACCUUGGGCGAGAGUACCAAAAUAGGAUUCAGAUAUAAAAUUAAACAAAUACGUAAUUUCAAUUGUUCGUUUGUUCAUUUUAUCUAUCUAAUUGUAAUGAAUUAUCAAUAACAAUUUGUAAAACUAAAAAUAAAGAUUGUGAUAAAUGCUUGUUUCAAUUUAACCCAUAUGAUCAAAUAACAAGUAUGGUCAGCUCGUACUGGACCGUACGCGUAUACUCAUACGGUCCGACCGUACGCGUAUGGUCGGACCAUACGAGUAUACGUAUACGGUCCGGAC